UGUAGCUCAGUUGGUAGAGCAUCUGACUCUUAAUCAGAGGGUCCAGGGUUCGAACCCCUGCA
RNAcentral lists this transfer RNA (62 nucleotides) under uncultured Prevotella sp. It matches the Rfam family "tRNA", at positions 6 to 65 of the family's 71-position model. Rfam says of the family: Transfer RNA (tRNA) molecules are approximately 80 nucleotides in length. Their secondary structure includes four short double-helical elements and three loops (D, anti-codon, and T loops). The record is from RNAcentral. Lineage: Bacteria; Pseudomonadati; Bacteroidota; Bacteroidia; Bacteroidales; Prevotellaceae.